RNAcentral lists this ribosomal RNA (252 nucleotides) under uncultured bacterium. Its description in RNAcentral is "partial 16S ribosomal RNA". It matches the Rfam family "Bacterial small subunit ribosomal RNA", at positions 524 to 776 of the family's 1533-position model. The record is from RNAcentral.
UACGUAGGGGCAAGCGUUGUCCGUAUUUAUUGGGCGUAAAGAGCGUGUAGGCGGUUUGGUAGGUCCGUUGUGAAAACUCGAGGCUCAACCUCGAGACGCCGAUGGAAACCAUCAGACUAGAGUCCGGAAGAGGAGAGUGGAAUUCCUGGUGUAGCGGUGAAAUGCGCAGAUAUCAGGAGGAACACCAAUGGCGAAGGCAGCUCUCUGGUACGUGACUGACGCUGAGACGCGAAAGCGUGGGGAGCGAACAGG